GGGCCAGUAGCUCAGCGGGAGAGCGCCCGCUUGGCGUGCGGGAGGUCAGGGGUUCAAUUCCCCUCUGGUCCACCA
RNAcentral lists this transfer RNA (75 nucleotides) under Pseudomonadota bacterium. RNAcentral's name for it is "tRNA-Ala". It matches the Rfam family "tRNA". From Rfam's summary of the family: Transfer RNA (tRNA) molecules are approximately 80 nucleotides in length. RNAcentral also lists the same sequence under 1 other name. Lineage: Bacteria; Pseudomonadati; Pseudomonadota. The record is from RNAcentral.